Molecule: ribosomal RNA, 448 nt
Filed under: uncultured bacterium
Lineage: Bacteria
Description: partial 16S ribosomal RNA
Rfam family: Bacterial small subunit ribosomal RNA
Source: RNAcentral
GCCCAGACUCCUACGGGAGGCAGCAGUGGGGAAUAUUGCACAAUGGGGGAAACCCUGAUGCAGCGACGCCGCGUGAGCGAUGAAGUAUUUCGGUAUGUAAAGCUCUAUCAGUAGGGAAGAAAAUGACGGUACCUGACUAAGAAGCCCCGGCUAACUACGUGCCAGCAGCCGCGGUAAUACGUAGGGGGCAAGCGUUAUCCGGAUUUACUGGGUGUAAAGGGAGCGUAGACGGCUGUGCAAGUCAGAAGUGAAAGCCCGGGGCUCAACCGCGGGACUGCUUUUGAAACUGUGUAGCUGGAGUGCAGGAGAGGUAAGUGGAAUUCCUAGUGUAGCGGUGAAAUGCGUAGAUAUUAGGAGGAACACCGGUGGCGAAGGCGGCUUACUGGACUGUAACUGACGUUGAGGCUCGAAAGCGUGGGGAGCAAACAGGAUUAGAUACCCGUGUACU